GAUGAACGCUGGCGGCGUGCCUAAUACAUGCAAGUCGAGCGAACAGACGAGGAGCUUGCUCCUCUGACGUUAGCGGCGGACGGGUGAGUAACACGUGGAUAACCUACCUAUAAGACUGGGAUAACUUCGGGAAACCGGAGCUAAUACCGGAUAAUCUAUUGAACCGCAUUGUUCAAUAGUGAGAUACGGUUUUGCUGUCACUUCUCGAUGGAUCCGCGCCGCAUUAGCUAGUUGGUAAGGUAACGGCUUACCAAGGCAACGAUGCGUAGCCGACCUGAGAGGGUGAUCGGCCACACUGGAACUGAGACGCGGUCCAGACUCCUACGGGAGGCAGCAGUAGGGAAUCUUCCGCAAUGGGCGAAAGCCUGACGGAGCAACGCCGCGUGAGUGAUGAAGGUCUUCGGAUCGUAAAACUCUGUUAUUAGGGAAGAACAAAUGUGUAAGUAACUAUGCCCGUCUUGACGGUACCUAAUAAGAAAGCCACGGCUAACUACGUG
This 497-nucleotide ribosomal RNA is filed under the name uncultured bacterium. RNAcentral describes it as "partial 16S ribosomal RNA". It matches the Rfam family "Bacterial small subunit ribosomal RNA", at positions 28 to 507 of the family's 1533-position model. The record is from RNAcentral.